CUGCGAGUUCGCGGGAGAGUAGGUUAUUGCCAGGGUUUUUAUUUUUAUACUUUAAACUUUGAUUUUAUUUUUAUGUUUUUUAAAUAUUGGUGUUUUUGAAUGUGUUGUUUAAAUAACAUAAAAAAUAAAAUAUAUAUAUUGGCAUGCAUUAAACAAAGAUAUAUAUUAUUUUAUGUUGUAUAAAUAAAUUGGCAAAAUGGAGAUGGAAGAUAAAAAUAUGGUCAAAGUAAUAAGAGUCUAUGGUGAAUGCCUAGGA
This 256-nucleotide unclassified non-coding RNA is filed under the name Borreliella burgdorferi (Lyme disease spirochete). RNAcentral's name for it is "partial 5S-23S ribosomal RNA intergenic spacer". The record is from RNAcentral. Lineage: Bacteria; Pseudomonadati; Spirochaetota; Spirochaetia; Spirochaetales; Borreliaceae.